Molecule: non-coding RNA, 89 nt
Organism: Cercophora sp. LCS_1
Lineage: Eukaryota; Fungi; Ascomycota; Sordariomycetes; Sordariales; Lasiosphaeriaceae
Source: the annotation of a GenBank genome assembly
GCAGGUUUAGCUCAGUUGGGAGAGCGUCAGACUGAAGUCCACUUCAAUCGAGAAUCUGAAGGUCGAGUGUUCAAGCCACUCAACCUGCA